Molecule: long non-coding RNA, 854 nt
Filed under: Homo sapiens (human)
Lineage: Eukaryota; Metazoa; Chordata; Mammalia; Primates; Hominidae
Description: HSALNT0047265
Source: RNAcentral
AGCCAUGUCCAACCCCAGCGCCCCACCACCAUAUGAAGACCGCAACCCCCUGUACCCAGGCCCUCCGCCCCCUGGGGGCUAUGGGCAGCCAUCUGUCCUGCCAGGAGGGUAGAAGAGAUCUGUGCCCAUGGGUCUCCUUGCUUCAAUCCCUUCUUGUUUCAGUGACAUAUGUAUUGUUUAUCUGGGUUAGGGAUGGGGGACAGAUAACAGAACGAGCAAAGUAACCUAUACAGGCCAGCAUGGAACAGCAUCUCCCCUGGGCUUGCUCCUGGCUUGUGACGCUAUAAGACAGAGCAGGCCACAUGUGGCCAUCUGCUCCCCAUUCUUGAAAGCUGCUGGGGCCUCCUUGCAGGCUUCUGGAUCUCUGGUCAGAGUGAACUCUUGCUUCCUGUAUUCAGGCAGCUCAGAGCAGAAAGUAAGGGGCAGAGUCAUACGUGUGGCCAGGAAGUAGCCAGGGUGAAGAGAGACUCGGUGCGGGCAGGGAGAAUGCCUGGGGGUCCCUCACCUGGCUAGGGAGAUACCGAAGCCUACUGUGGUACUGAAGACUUCUGGGUUCUUUCCUUCUGCUAACCCAGGGAGGGUCCUAAGAGGAAGGUGACUUCUCUCUGUUUGUCUUAAGUUGCACUGGGGGAUUUCUGACUUGAGGCCCAUCUCUCCAGCCAGCCACUGCCUUCUUUGUAAUAUUAAGUGCCUUGAGCUGGAAUGGGGAAGGGGGACAAGGGUCAGUCUGUCGGGUGGGGGCAGAAAUCAAAUCAGCCCAAGGAUAUAGUUAGGAUUAAUUACUUAAUAGAGAAAUCCUAACUAUAUCACACAAAGGGAUACAACUAUAAAUGUAAUAAAGUUUAUGUCUAGAA